This 1971-nucleotide ribosomal RNA is filed under the name Klebsiella variicola. Its description in RNAcentral is "bacterial LSU rRNA". It matches the Rfam family "Bacterial large subunit ribosomal RNA", at positions 146 to 2141 of the family's 2925-position model. Lineage: Bacteria; Pseudomonadati; Pseudomonadota; Gammaproteobacteria; Enterobacterales; Enterobacteriaceae. The record is from RNAcentral.
CACUAUCGUUAACUGAAUACAUAGGUUAACGAGGCGAACCGGGGGAACUGAAACAUCUAAGUACCCCGAGGAAAAGAAAUCAACCGAGAUUCCCCCAGUAGCGGCGAGCGAACGGGGAGCAGCCCAGAGUCUGAAUCAGCUUGUGUGUUAGUGGAACGGUCUGGAAAGUCCGACGGUACAGGGUGAUAGUCCCGUACACCAAAAUGCACAGGUUGUGAACUCGAAGAGUAGGGCGGGACACGUGGUAUCCUGUCUGAAUAUGGGGGGACCAUCCUCCAAGGCUAAAUACUCCUGACUGACCGAUAGUGAACCAGUACCGUGAGGGAAAGGCGAAAAGAACCCCGGCGAGGGGAGUGAAAAAGAACCUGAAACCGUGUACGUACAAGCAGUGGGAGCACCUUCGGGUGUGACUGCGUACCUUUUGUAUAAUGGGUCAGCGACUUAUAUUCUGUAGCAAGGUUAACCGUAUAGGGGAGCCGCAGGGAAACCGAGUCUUAACUGGGCGUUAAGUUGCAGGGUAUAGACCCGAAACCCGGUGAUCUAGCCAUGGGCAGGUUGAAGGUUGGGUAACACUAACUGGAGGACCGAACCGACUAAUGUUGAAAAAUUAGCGGAUGACUUGUGGCUGGGGGUGAAAGGCCAAUCAAACCGGGAGAUAGCUGGUUCUCCCCGAAAGCUAUUUAGGUAGCGCCUCGUGAACUCAUCUUCGGGGGUAGAGCACUGUUUCGGCUAGGGGGUCAUCCCGACUUACCAACCCGAUGCAAACUACGAAUACCGAAGAAUGUUAUCACGGGAGACACACGGCGGGUGCUAACGUCCGUCGUGAAGAGGGAAACAACCCAGACCGCCAGCUAAGGUCCCAAAGUCAUGGUUAAGUGGGAAACGAUGUGGGAAGGCACAGACAGCCAGGAUGUUGGCUUAGAAGCAGCCAUCAUUUAAAGAAAGCGUAAUAGCUCACUGGUCGAGUCGGCCUGCGCGGAAGAUGUAACGGGGCUAAACCAUGCACCGAAGCUGCGGCAGCGACACUAUGUGUUGUUGGGUAGGGGAGCGUUCUGUAAGCCUGCGAAGGUGACCUGUGAGGGUUGCUGGAGGUAUCAGAAGUGCGAAUGCUGACAUAAGUAACGAUAAAGCGGGUGAAAAGCCCGCUCGCCGGAAGACCAAGGGUUCCUGUCCAACGUUAAUCGGGGCAGGGUGAGUCGACCCCUAAGGCGAGGCCGAAAGGCGUAGUCGAUGGGAAACAGGUUAAUAUUCCUGUACUUGGUGUUACUGCGAAGGGGGGACGGAGAAGGCUAUGUUAGCCGGGCGACGGUUGUCCCGGUUUAAGCAUGUAGGCGGAGGUUCCAGGUAAAUCCGGUACCUUUUAACGCUGAGGUGUGAUGACGAGGCACUACGGUGCUGAAGUAACAAAUGCCCUGCUUCCAGGAAAAGCCUCUAAGCAUCAGGUAACAUUAAAUCGUACCCCAAACCGACACAGGUGGUCAGGUAGAGAAUACCAAGGCGCUUGAGAGAACUCGGGUGAAGGAACUAGGCAAAAUGGUGCCGUAACUUCGGGAGAAGGCACGCUGGUGUGUAGGUGAAGUCCCUGCGGAUGGAGCUGAGACCAGUCGAAGAUACCAGCUGGCUGCAACUGUUUAUUAAAAACACAGCACUGUGCAAACACGAAAGUGGACGUAUACGGUGUGACGCCUGCCCGGUGCCGGAAGGUUAAUUGAUGGGGUUAUCCGUAAGGAGAAGCUCUUGAUCGAAGCCCCGGUAAACGGCGGCCGUAACUAUAACGGUCCUAAGGUAGCGAAAUUCCUUGUCGGGUAAGUUCCGACCUGCACGAAUGGCGUAAUGAUGGCCAGGCUGUCUCCACCCGAGACUCAGUGAAAUUGAACUCGCUGUGAAGAUGCAGUGUACCCGCGGCAAGACGGAAAGACCCCGUGAACCUUUACUAUAGCUUGACACUGAACAUUGAGCCUUGAUGUGUAG